This 636-nucleotide long non-coding RNA is filed under the name Anser cygnoides (Swan goose). Its description in RNAcentral is "lncRNA (ENSACDG00005008008.1)". Lineage: Eukaryota; Metazoa; Chordata; Aves; Anseriformes; Anatidae. The record is from RNAcentral.
ACAGACGUGGAAGAGAAGGGGGACUGAGGAGCGCGUGCUUUCGGGAUACUCGGGGUCGGAGCCACAGAGCCCUUGGUGGCUUUCCCAGUGAAGUCCUGCUUCUUUGUUAUUAAUCAGAUCAAGUCAGCCUUUUGCAGAAACUGUGACAGCGAUGUCAUCACUCUGUUCUCUGUCAAAUCCCUCCUCCCCAAAUCCCUGCAGCUGCUUUGGUAGACGGACUUCUGAGAGUUGUGGCAAUGUGACCAGUCAUCGUGUGGUCUGUCCCAGAAUCGUGAUGACUUUGAUGCCAUUUUGGUUUGGAUUUUUGGAAUGGUAUACAGGACUGGUGCUUGUUCCAUAUGCCUUUCCUCUGAGUUUUAGGGUUCUCCCCGUCCUCCCUAAAACUGUGGCAAUGGAAAUUUUUUCUUUCUCUGCACUUCCACAACAGACUGGGGCAAAUCUUCUGAUCCUGUAUUCAGAGACAAUCCCCUUACAUUACAUUUUCCUCUUGUUAAAAAACGAUUACUUUAAGUUAUGGUCAAGAUAUUGCUGACCUGCAUGAAUUUAUUCUAUGAUGGCUGCAGCGGGAGUCCCUGCUGUCUGAAUGAAGUCAUUAUUUGGGAACCACUGAAUAAAUGACCUCAUAAGUUUAAGUCA